Molecule: ribosomal RNA, 468 nt
Filed under: uncultured bacterium
Lineage: Bacteria
Description: partial 16S ribosomal RNA
Rfam family: Bacterial small subunit ribosomal RNA
Source: RNAcentral
GACGAACGCUGGCGGCGUGCUUAACACAUGCAAGUCGAACGGAAAGGCCCUGCUUUUGUGGGGUGCUCGAGUGGCGAACGGGUGAGUCACACGUGAGUAACCUGCCCUUGACUUUGGGAUAACUUCAGGAAACUGGGGCUAAUACCGGAUAGGAGCUCCUGCUGCAUGGGGGGGGUUGGAAAGUUUCGGCGGUUGGGGAUGGACUCGCGGCUUAUCAGCUUGUUGGUGGGGUAGUGGCUUACCAAGGCUUUGACGGGUAGCCGGCCUGAGAGGGUGACCGGCCACAUUGGGACUGAGAUACGGCCCAGACUCCUACGGGAGGCAGCAGUGGGGAAUAUUGCACAAUGGGCGGAAGCCUGAUGCAGCAACGCCGCGUGCGGGAUGACGGCCUGCGGGUUGUAAACCGCUUUCGCCUGUGACGAAGCGUGAGUGACGGUAAUGGGUAAAGAAGCACCGGCUAACUACGUG